AGUGAACGCUGGCGGCAGGCCUAACACAUGCAAGUCGAACGGCAGCACAAGAGAGCUUGCUCUCUGGGUGGCGAGUGGCGGACGGGUGAGGAAUGCAUCGGAAUCUGCCCAUUUGUGGGGGAUAACCUCGGGAAACCGGGACUAAUACCGCAUACGACCUACGGGUGAAAGCAGGGGAUCUUCGGACCUUGCGCAGAUGGAUGAGCCGAUGCCGGAUUAGCUAGUUGGAGGGGUAAAGGCCCACCAAGGCGACGAUCCGUAGCUGGUCUGAGAGGAUGAUCAGCGCGACUAGGACUGAGACACGGCUCAGACUCCUACGGGAGGCAGCGGUGGGGAAUAUUGGACAAUGGGCGCAAGCCUGAUCCAGCCAUGCCGCGUGUGUGAAGAAGGCCUUCGGGUUGUAAAGCACUUUUGUUGGGAAAGAAAAGCAGCCGGUUAAUACCCGGUUGUCAUGACGGUACCCAAAGAAUAAGCACCGGCUAACUUCGUG
This 490-nucleotide ribosomal RNA is filed under the name uncultured bacterium. RNAcentral describes it as "partial 16S ribosomal RNA". It matches the Rfam family "Bacterial small subunit ribosomal RNA", at positions 29 to 507 of the family's 1533-position model. The record is from RNAcentral.